RNAcentral lists this ribosomal RNA (259 nucleotides) under uncultured prokaryote. RNAcentral describes it as "partial 16S ribosomal RNA". It matches the Rfam family "Bacterial small subunit ribosomal RNA", at positions 524 to 782 of the family's 1533-position model. The record is from RNAcentral.
UACGUAGGGGACGAGCGUUGUCCGGAAUUACUGGGCGUAAAGGGCGCGCAGGCGGUAUAUCAAGUCAGCUGUCAAAGACUGGGGCUCAACCCUGGUAUGCGGUUGAAACUGAUAUGCUGGAGUGCUGUAGAGGCAAGUGGAAUUCCCAGUGUAGCGGUGAAAUGCGUAGAUAUUGGGAAGAACACCGGUGGCGAAGGCGACUUGCUGGGCAGCAACUGACGCUGAGGCGCGAAAGCGAGGGGAGCAAACGGGGAUUAGA